GAUGAACGCUGGCGGCGUGCCUAAUACAUGCAAGUCGAACGAACAGACGAGGAGCUUGCUCCUCUGACGUUAGCGGCGGACGGGUGAGUAACACGUGGAUAACCUACCUAUAAGACUGGGAUAACUUCGGGAAACCGGAGCUAAUACCGGAUAAUAUAUUGAACCGCAUGGUUCAAUAGUGAAAGACGGUUUUGCUGUCACUUAUAGAAGGAUCCGCGCCGCAUUAGCUAGUUGGUAAGGUAACGGCUUACCAAGGCGACGAUGCGUAGCCGACCUGAGAGGGUGAUCGGCCACACUGGAACUGAGACACGGUCCAGACUCCUACGGGAGGCAGCAGUAGGGAAUCUUCCGCAAUGGGCGAAAGCCUGACGGAGCAACGCCGCGUGAGUGAUGAAGGUCUUCGGAUCGUAAAACUCUGUUAUUAGGGAAGAACAAAUGUGUAAGUAACUAUGCACGUCUUGACGGUACCUAAUCAGAAAGCCACGGCUAACUACGUG
This 497-nucleotide ribosomal RNA is filed under the name uncultured bacterium. Its description in RNAcentral is "partial 16S ribosomal RNA". It matches the Rfam family "Bacterial small subunit ribosomal RNA", at positions 28 to 507 of the family's 1533-position model. The record is from RNAcentral.